GAGAACAUAUCAAAAUGUAGUCUUACAAAAGCAUGGAUAUGAGCUCAAGAAUCCCACAUGGAUUGAGCCAAAGAGUCAUAGACAACUGGUGAGGAUGAACUUGUGCGGUCUAUAUGUCAUGAGACACAUGCUCAAUAUUAUCACAUUAGGCAUGACCGAAUUUACAAAAGAGAUGUUUGACAAUUCAGAUGUAUUUCCUGAAGCUGAAAUUGAAGAGAUCCGCAUACGUUGGGCAACCUAUUUUGUGGAGAACUUGUGAGAUUUUUUGUUACUUUUAGACAUUUUAAUUUUGAUAGUUG
Long non-coding RNA from Prosopis cineraria, 299 nucleotides. RefSeq lists it as uncharacterized. The transcript has 3 exons. The record is from RefSeq and is a predicted model, not a curated record. NCBI's taxonomy places the organism in Eukaryota, Viridiplantae, Streptophyta, Magnoliopsida, Fabales, Fabaceae.